UGCAUCAGCCGGGAAUCGAAACCGGGCCGCCCGCGUGGCAGGCGAGCAUUCUACCACUGAACCACCC
Molecule: transfer RNA, 67 nt
Filed under: Cordylochernes scorpioides
Lineage: Eukaryota; Metazoa; Arthropoda; Arachnida; Pseudoscorpiones; Chernetidae
Description: tRNA-Gly
Source: RNAcentral